GGGUCGGUGCCCGAGUGGUUAAAGGGGGCGGAUUGUAAAUCCGCUGGCUUAGCCUACAUUGGUUCAAAUCCAAUUCGGCCUA
RNAcentral lists this transfer RNA (82 nucleotides) under Olisthodiscus luteus. Its description in RNAcentral is "tRNA-Tyr". It matches the Rfam family "tRNA". From Rfam's summary of the family: Transfer RNA (tRNA) molecules are approximately 80 nucleotides in length. Their secondary structure includes four short double-helical elements and three loops (D, anti-codon, and T loops). Lineage: Eukaryota; Olisthodiscophyceae; Olisthodiscaceae. The record is from RNAcentral.